Molecule: ribosomal RNA, 433 nt
Filed under: uncultured bacterium
Lineage: Bacteria
Description: partial 16S ribosomal RNA
Rfam family: Bacterial small subunit ribosomal RNA
Source: RNAcentral
AACGAACGCUGUCGGCAUGCCUAACACAUGCAAGUCGAACGAGACCUUCGGGUCUAGUGGCGCACGGGUGCGUAACGCGUGGGAACCUGCCCUUAGGUUCGGAAUAACUCCCCGAAAGGGGUGCUAAUACCGGAUAAUGUCUUCGGACCAAAGAUUUAUCGCCUUUGGAUGGGCCCGCGUUGGAUUAGCUAGUUGGUAGGGUAAAAGCCUACCAAGGCGACGAUCCAUAGCUGGUCUGAGAGGAUGAUCAGCCACACUGGGACUGAGACACGGCCCAGACUCCUACGGGAGGCAGCAGUGGGGAAUAUUGGACAAUGGGCGAAAGCCUGAUCCAGCAAUGCCGCGUGAGUGAUGAAGGCCUUAGGGUUGUAAAGCUCUUUUACCCGGGAUGAUAAUGACAGUACCGGGAGAAUAAGCUCCGGCUAACUCCGUG